This 263-nucleotide ribosomal RNA is filed under the name uncultured bacterium. RNAcentral describes it as "partial small subunit ribosomal RNA". It matches the Rfam family "Bacterial small subunit ribosomal RNA", at positions 26 to 285 of the family's 1533-position model. The record is from RNAcentral.
AGGACGAACGCUGGCGGCGUGCUUAACACAUGCAAGUCGAGCGGAAAGGCCCGUUCGGGGUACUCGAGCGGGCGAACGGGUGAGUAACGACGUGAGCAACCUGCCCUUAGCUCCUGGGAUAGGCUCCGGGAAAACCGGAAUUAAUACCGGAUAUGACCUAGGCCGACAUCGGCCGUGGUGGAAAGUUUUUCGGACUAGGGAUGGACUCGCGGCCGUAUCAGCUAGUUGGUGGGGUAAUGGGCCUACCAAGGCGACGACGGGUA